Molecule: microRNA precursor, 61 nt
Filed under: Lepisosteus oculatus (spotted gar)
Lineage: Eukaryota; Metazoa; Chordata; Actinopteri; Semionotiformes; Lepisosteidae
Description: Loc-Mir-26-P4_pre stem-loop
Source: RNAcentral
UUCAAGUAAUCCAGGAUAGGCUGGAUCCUGGCACUGCGGCCUAUUCUUGAUUACUUGUUUC